This 60-nucleotide transfer RNA is filed under the name Proasellus arthrodilus. Its description in RNAcentral is "transfert RNA-P(CCA)". The record is from RNAcentral. Lineage: Eukaryota; Metazoa; Arthropoda; Malacostraca; Isopoda; Asellidae.
CAGAAAAUAGUUUAUAUAAAAUAGUAGUUUUGGAGAUUAAAGAAGUUUUGGCUUUUCUGA